AUUGAACGCUGGCGGAACGCUUUACACAUGCAAGUCGAACGGCAGCACGGGGCAACCUGGUGGCGAGUGGCGAACGGGUGAGUAAUACAUCGGAACGUGCCCAAUCGUGGGGGAUAACGUAGCGAAAGUUACGCUAAUACCGCAUACGAUCUACGGAUGAAAGCGGGGGAUCGCAAGACCUCGCGCGAAUGGAGCGGCCGAUGUCAGAUUAGGUAGUUGGUGGGGUAAAGGCUCACCAAGCCAACGAUCUGUAGCUGGUCUGAGAGGACGACCAGCCGCACUGGAACUGAGACACGGUCCAGACUCCUACGGGAGGCAGCAGUGGGGAAUUUUGGACAAUGGGGGCGAACCCUGAUCCAGCCAUUCCGCGUGAGUGAAGAAGGCCUCGGUUGUUAAAGGACUCUUUCCUAGCAGGAACGAAACGGUAGGU
Molecule: ribosomal RNA, 430 nt
Filed under: uncultured bacterium
Lineage: Bacteria
Description: bacterial SSU rRNA
Rfam family: Bacterial small subunit ribosomal RNA
Source: RNAcentral